AAAGUCGUAACAAGGUUUCCGUAGGUGAACCUGCGGAAGGAUCAUUAUCCAUCAAACCAGGUGUGGCUGCGGCCCUCGGGGGCUUCCCCCCGGGCGGUAGAGGUAAAACUUGCACGCGCCACAUGUCUGAAUCCUUUCUUUACGAGCACCUUUUGUUCUCCUUCGGUGGGGCAACCUGCCGCUGGAACCCAUCAAAACCCUUUUUUGCAUCUAGCAUUACCCGUUCCGAUACAAACAAUCGUUACAACUUUCAACAAUGGAUCUCUUGGCUCUG
RNAcentral lists this unclassified non-coding RNA (274 nucleotides) under Ascomycota sp. RNAcentral describes it as "partial contains small subunit ribosomal RNA, internal transcribed spacer 1, and 5.8S ribosomal RNA". The stretch from base 1 to 47 matches the Rfam family "Eukaryotic small subunit ribosomal RNA", at positions 1785 to 1831 of the family's 1831-position model. The record is from RNAcentral. Lineage: Eukaryota; Fungi; Ascomycota.